RNA transcript from Gorilla gorilla gorilla (western lowland gorilla), 3423 nucleotides. It is a transcript of the gene named signal regulatory protein beta 2, with no coding region annotated. The record is from RefSeq and is a predicted model, not a curated record. Lineage: Eukaryota; Metazoa; Chordata; Mammalia; Primates; Hominidae. The transcript is spliced from 6 exons.
CCAAGCAGCUGUGGCCAAGAGACGCAGAAACUGCCUUGUCCACGGGCCCCGCCUCAGACUCCAACACUCACAAAAGAGCAGAGGAGCCCCAAGUCUUGGGGACCACAGAAGAUGCCAUGUGCUCCACGAUGUCGGCCCCCACCUGCCUGGCCCACUUGCCUCCCUGCUUCCUGCUGCUGGCACUGGUCCUUGUCCCCUCAGAUGCCUCUGGGCAGAGCAGCAGGAAUGACUGGCAGGUGCUACAGCCCGAGGGCCCCAUGCUGGUGGCAGAAGGCGAGACACUUCUACUGAGGUGUAUGGUGGUCGGCUCCUGCACUGAUGGUAUGAUAAAAUGGGUGAAGGUGAGCACUCAGGACCAACAGGAAAUUUAUAACUUUAAACGUGGCUCCUUCCCUGGGGUAAUGCCCAUGAUCCAACGGACAUCAGAACCACUGAAUUGCGAUUAUUCCAUCUAUAUCCACAAUGUCACCAAGGAGCACACUGGAACCUACCACUGUGUGAGGUUUGAUGGUUUGAGUGAACACUCAGAAAUGAAAUCGGAUGAAGGCACCUCAGUGCUUGUGAAGGGAGCUGGGGACCCUGAACCAGACCUGUGGAUCAUCCAGCCCCAGGAAUUGGUGUUGGGGACCACUGGAGACACUGUCUUUCUGAACUGCACAGUGCUUGGAGAUGGUCCCCCCGGACCCAUCAGGUGGUUCCAGGGAGCUGGUCUGAGCCGGGAGGCCAUUUACAACUUUGGAGGCAUCUCCCACCCCAAGGCGACAGCGGUGCAGGCCUCCAACAAUGACUUCAGCAUUCUUCUGCAAAACGUCUCCAGUGAGGAUGCAGGCACCUAUUACUGUGUAAAGUUUCAGAGGAAACCCAACAGGCAAUACCUGUCUGGACAGGGCACCAGGCUGAAAGUGAAAGCAAAAUCUACCUCUUCCAAAGAGGCAGAAUUCACCAGUGAACCUGCAACUGAGAUGUCUCCAACAGGUUUGCAGUGAUCUGUUACAGCGGCCACGGGAAGCUGAAACAGCAGGAAAGCAUGGAGGUGGUUCUCCACUAACUGGAGGUGGGUCCCACCUGCCCCUGCAAGCCCCCUAGCCCUGUAGGGCCCUGCAUGAGCUGGUCCCUGCCGCCCCCUCUGACCUCAUCUCCCCAGAUCCUGUAAGCUGACUCUGCUCCAGCACCCCUCUGGGCUUUGACCACACAAAGCUCCCUGAUUCAUUCAAGUCUCUGCUUAACUCUUACCUUCAAGAGGCCUCUCUGGACCACUCUAUCCAAAAAAGCACCUCCAUCACUCUCAUUCCUGCUUGCCACUUAAGUUUUCUUCAUAGUAGUUACUGCUACCUGAAAACGUGUGUGUGGUGUGUGUGUGUGAGCGCGCAUGCAUGUGUGUGUGCACCUAUGUGGGUGUGUGUGCAUGUGUGCAUGUGUGUGUCUGUGCCUGUGUGUGCCUGCAUGUGCACGUGUGUGUGCGUGUCUGUGUGUGCGUGUGUGUUUGUGUGUCUGCUUCCUUGAUGGUUGUUAGUUGUCCCCACUAGAAUUUGAGCUCCCUGGGGACAGGAACCUAAUGGUCCACUAUUGUAGCCACCCUCAUUCAAUCCUGAAACGUGGUUGAAAGCUGACUCUGUGUCAGGCCCUAAUCAGUGUGCUGAGAAUGAAACAGAAGUCUGCUCUCUCAGAGCUUACCUCCUCCUGAGAGAAGACAGACAAUGAGCAAGUAACCCGAGGUGAGUAACAGGCCCCACUAUACUGAGUGCUGAGGGCCUUCACAACGCAGGAGGAGGGGGAAGGAAGUUGCCAGAGCAAAGGGGAAGUGACACUAUUUUAUGCAGGGUGGACAGAAGAGGCCUCCUGAUAAAGUGACAUUUGAGCAGACACCUGAAGGAGGUGAGGAAGAGAGCCCUGCAGAUACCCAGGGGAAGAGCUGAAAAGUACAAGGAACAGCGAAUGCAAAGGUCCUGAGGCAGGAGCGUGCUUGACUUGGCACAAGAACAGCAAACACCAAGCAGAAUGCCUGGCCUGUAUUAGACCCCGUAAACGCCUGAACUACAUACAUGGCAGAGAUGAAGCACACAGUCUUCAUCUGACUGUGCAGGUUUGAAUUUGAAUCUGGCUGUGCAGGUUCAAAUUCCAGUUCUCCUACUUAUCUCUUGGGUGAGUUUGUUUCUCUCAGUUUCCUUGUCUAUAAACUGGUAAUAACAUGCGUGCCUCCCUUAUUAGGUAGUUUUGAGGCUAAAAUGCAUUGGUAUAUGUGCAGCACCUGGCACAUAAGAAGCCCUAAAUAAUUAUUAUAGUUACAUUAUUUCAUUAGGCUACUGUUAUGCAAUUCUAACUAUAAACUGUAGUCACUAUCCUCCCCAUGACAAGGAGCAUGGCAGCCUACAGUGCCUGGGCCCCUUAUCGGGCAACUUCAGAUGCCAGAUGACCCUACUCACCACAGACUCAGUUGGAAAAUCCUAUAGAAACUUGGCCCUGCUUGGGUCCAAGGACUUAUAGGGACAUGGCAGGGGAGCAAGGUGGAGGCAAGUCCACUAAAGAAGACAAAUAUAACAAAAGAUGAACAAUUUAAGGCCCUUCUUAGGGACUCUAGGAAACCUGCUGACCACAGAUAGAAAGGGUGGGGAAUGGAUGGGAGACAGAACUCCUCAGCCCAGCCCUUCUGCUGCUUUGGGGCCCCAGGCAUUGCACAGGUGAGAUGACCCACCAAAGACAGAGCAGGGGGCAUGCCACAGCCCCCACUAAGGGCCAACAGGCCACUAUUACAUGUCCUGCCUGGGCCUUCAGAUCUGAUGCCUGGAUGUCAGUGGCUACACUCCAAGAUCCCUGAAUCAGGGCAUCUGUUUCUCUCCCUCCCCUUCUGUUUUCUCCUUCCUGCAGCUCUUCUUUAGCUCUUUCCUUCCCUUCCCAUGGUUCUUGUCCCAUGCUCUUCCUGCCCCAAGGAACCCCCAUCAAGGCUGCCAAAGUCCCAGACUCUGUGACUGCUCCCUGUGAGAGACGGGCCUAUUCACGCCACUCUCCUCGGGCUCGAGGACCCUCCAUCUCCCGCUGCAGGGAAGUGCGGGCAUCUUCAGUUCUUGUCUGCUUGGAAGAAAGAUUUCAGCCAGGAGACACACAGCAAAGGUGAAGUAGCAGAGUUUAUUGAAGAAAGAUAAAGUACGUUCCUAGAAAGGAGUGGGCUGACCUGGCUGGAAAAGAGCAUCAGGCAAAAAACAGCAGUAGCAGUGUUUAUUUAAAGAGACAGUACACUCUGAAAGAACGAGCCAGCAGCAGCUGGUGCCGGGAGACCCUCUUUAUGAGAAUCUUACAUGAUUAUUCGUGAAGGGGCAUGAGGGAGUGUCACUUACAAUCAUGUUUUAGGUGGUCCCCUUGGCUGUGAAUGUUCUGUGUUUGUACGCGCUAGUAAACACAUUGCCUGUCUCAUUAGCAUUUAAAAUC